This 468-nucleotide ribosomal RNA is filed under the name uncultured bacterium. Its description in RNAcentral is "partial 16S ribosomal RNA". It matches the Rfam family "Bacterial small subunit ribosomal RNA", at positions 28 to 507 of the family's 1533-position model. The record is from RNAcentral.
GACGAACGCUGGCGGCGUGCUUAACACAUGCCAGUCGAACGGAAAGGCCCUGCUUUUGUGGGGUGCUCGAGUGGCGAACGGGUGAGUAACACGUGAGUAACCUGCCCUUGACUUUGGGAUAAUUUCAGGAAACUGGGGCUAAUACCGGAUAGGAGCUCCUGCUGCAUGGUGGGGGUUGGAAAGUUUCGGCGGUUGGGGAUGGACUCGCGGCUUAUCAGCUUGUUGGUGGGGUAGUGGCUUACCAAGGCUUUGACGGGUAGCCGGCCUGAGAGGGUGACCGGCCACAUUGGGACUGAGAUACGGCCCAGACUCCUACGGGAGGCAGCAGUGGGGAAUAUUGCACAAUGGGCGGAAGCCUGAUGCAGCAACGCCGCGUGCGGGAUGACGGCCUUCGGGUUGUAAACCGCUUUCGCCUGUGACGAAGCGUGAGUGACGGUAAUGGGUAAAGAAGCACCGGCUAACUACGUG